Molecule: ribosomal RNA, 441 nt
Filed under: uncultured bacterium
Lineage: Bacteria
Description: partial 16S ribosomal RNA
Rfam family: Bacterial small subunit ribosomal RNA
Source: RNAcentral
CCUACGGGUGGCAGCAGUCGGGAAUAUUGCGCAAUGGAGGAAACUCUGACGCAGUGACGCCGCGUGCAGGAAGAAGGUUUUCGGAUUGUAAACUGCUUUAGACAGGGAAGAAAAACGACAGUACCUGUAGAAUAAGCUCCGGCUAACUACGUGCCAGCAGCCGCGGUAAUACGCAGGGAGCAAGCGUUAUCCGGAUUUAGUGGGUGUAAAGGGUGCGUAGGAGGAGAAGAAAGUUAGUUGUGAAAUUCCUCGGCUUAACUGAGGAACUGCAACUAAAACUACUUGCCUUGAGUACUGGAGAGGAGAGUGGAAUUCGUAGUGUAGCGGUGAAAUGCGGAGAUAUUAGGAAGAACACCAGUGGCGAAGGCGACUUUCUGGACAGUAACUGACGUUGAGGCACGAAAGUGUGGGGAGCAAACAGGAUUAGAUACCCUGGUAGUC